GAUGAAGAACGUAGCAAAAUGCGAUAAGUAAUGUGAAUUGCAGAAUUCAGUGAAUCAUCGAAUCUUUGAACGCACAUUGCGCCCGCCAGUAUUCUGGCGGGCAUGCCUGUCUGAGCGUCAUUUCAACCCUCAGCCCCCGCUCGCGGGGCGCUGGCGUUGGGGAUCGGCCGUCCUCGCGGCGGCCGGCCCCGAAACACAGUGGCGGUCUCUCGCGGACUCCCCUGCGUAGUAGCACUACCUCGCAGAAGGGACGAGCGGGCUGACCACGCCGUAAAACCCCCCACUUCUCCAGGUUGACCUCAGAUCAGGUAGGAAUACCCGCUGAACUUAAGCAUAUCAAUAAGCGGAGGA
Molecule: unclassified non-coding RNA, 351 nt
Filed under: soil metagenome
Description: partial contains 5.8S ribosomal RNA, internal transcribed spacer 2, and large subunit ribosomal RNA
Rfam family: 5.8S ribosomal RNA (bases 1-120)
Source: RNAcentral